This 222-nucleotide long non-coding RNA is filed under the name Lepisosteus oculatus (spotted gar). Its description in RNAcentral is "lncRNA (ENSLOCG00000022205.1)". Lineage: Eukaryota; Metazoa; Chordata; Actinopteri; Semionotiformes; Lepisosteidae. The record is from RNAcentral.
CUUGAUUCUUUGAAAGAGGGACAUCGUUCUGCCUGAAAAGAUACUGGAGGCUGCUACCAACGAAGCUCAUCUCCUUUCCAGAAAAAACAAAGCUGAGCUGCAUUCCCAGAGUUCAAUUUGCUGUUACAACGGAGGCCUGUGGAUUGGGGUUUGAGAUGUGUCUCUCAACCAGGGAGGUGCGUGGUUGGUUAUGUGCACCCUCAGGAACCCAUUUAAAGUUCA